This is a non-coding RNA of Xyrichtys novacula (pearly razorfish), 2509 nucleotides long. The record is from the annotation of a GenBank genome assembly. NCBI's taxonomy places the organism in Eukaryota, Metazoa, Chordata, Actinopteri, Labriformes, Labridae.
AGAGACACUGAGAGCAGUAUAAUAUGAGAAAAUGUCUCGACGGAGCAAGAUGUAGCGGAAAGAGUUUACAAAAUGAGGUAAGUCAAGAAAAAAAGAAUAAAAAAAAAAAAUGUAAAGUAAAAAUGUCAUAGUAUAGAAUGAUAUAAAAUUGUCAUUGUAUAGAAUGAUAUAAAAUUGUCAUUGUAUAGAAUGAUAAUAAUCAUAGUAUAGUAUGAUAUAAAAAUACCAUGGACAGCUCAAUCUGAGGGAUAAUGUAAUAUGAUAAUAAUUAUCUUUGUGCUUUUGCAAAAAUAAGAUGUGUACACAGUUGGUUUCCCACCAUGUGAACUGUCAGCAGAACAAAAUAUCUAUCCCAAAUUAUUAAAUCCACCAUCCCCCCUGAUUUUUUUAUUUUACAACUUGACUACAGUCUGAAGCAGCAUCCAGCAGUGAGGUCUCAGCGUCCUGCAGUGCACAAAUUCAACCAGAAGGCGUCAGUAUAACACAAUCUAAGUGAUUUACCAAGCGGCAGUUGCGACAAAAAAAUAAUAUUUUGGGAGCUUUUUAGGAAGAUAAAUGACAAAUAAUUAUUUAACAAGAAAAAUACAUUUAUUUAUCCUUGUAGAAAAAAACUUUUUUUGCACUUUUUCUUCAUGUGAAACUUGUGUGCCAUAUCAAACUACAAACUCUACUAACUAAAAGUAAACAGGUUUCAAUCAUAAUUAUCAGUGUAUUUUGGUCUGAUGACCACAGGGUGGCAGACUAAGUGUCCCAGACUGAGGCCAACAAGUCUGAGGAUACACCAUUGAAUAAUUUCUGUUAGUAACAGUACAUACAUCCAUAAGUUUCUAACCUUAUAUCACAAUAGCAGACAAGAGGCAGAGCAACUGUCAGCUGAUUCAUGACAUUUUGAGGUAAAUGGCAUCAGCUAGUGUCUGAAUUUAAGGAGCUGAUUAAAAAACACAUGUUUUCCCCUCUUUGAUAACAGCAGAUCAAAUCUAAAACAGCGACUGGCUACAGAUCGAUAUAAAGUCUCUUGGGAUGUGUAGAAUAAUGCAGUUUUGUAAUGCUUUUGGAAUAAAACCAAUCAUGUUAUAAUUUCUAGGCCAAAACCCAGAGCCGGCCCAAGCCUCAAUGGGGCCCUGAGCAAAAUUUGAUUUUGGGGCCCUCUAUUUCUGCCAAUAAUAUUGAUUGUUGAUCAUUCACACACCUUCACAAAUCUCAUUAACAUUCCAUGACAUGCAAACAGACCUUUAUCUUGGCGUUUUUUCUCUUCUUUUCUUUUCUCUGCUCCUGAAGGAUAUGUCCUUUUUUGCGACAUUGUUUUGCCCCACAACUACCUGCGCUUUGGAUGCUCAGUGCAAAUUACGCAGCAGGAGGCACAUAUAAGAAUCAUAGUUUUUACUUUAUUUUAUUUUAUUUGUACAAUAAUAUACAUUUGAUCCCACUGAAAGCAUCACUCAUACAUGCUUUUUUUUGAAUUGCUCUUUGGGGCCCCCUAUUGGCCGCGGGGCCCUAAUCAGGCGCUUAGUUCGCUUAUGCCUUGGGCCGGCUCUGGUAAAACCAAAUGUGUUUUGAUUAAUUAAUCAAAAGUAGGGUAGCCCAUCGUUGAUUUGCAAUUAAUUGUAAAUGAAUAUAAAAGGGGUUAAAAAGAUUUAAAGGGGGUUAAAUUCAGUAUUUUUGUUUCUCAUUUGUAAUUAUGACUGAAUUUUUGUAUACAAUCCCAACAACAAUAUGAUUCCUGCAUUAAGGAUUAUAUUGAGCUGCAGAAAAGCACAUAGUUCACACUACAGUAUGUGGGGCUCUGGUGAAUAAUAGCAACAUCUGAGCAGCAGGGGGCAGUGUGAGCACAGGUUUGUGUUACAGUAUGCAAUCGCUACUGUAAAUUAGGCCAGGGAGUCUUGGAAAGAUGUUUUCUGGAGUUGUCUCCCCCUGGGCUGAGUAAACAAGACAGCAGCUGUGCUUGAUACUAUAAAAAAACACUAAAUGGAGCCAGAGCGGUAGCAGUGAUCCGGCGUGGUGUAAUACAUUAUUGUCAUAUCAGUCAUUCAUUGUGUGGAUCUGUUGCAGGCUAAAUGACACAGAUGUUGAGUGCGGCCGACGUUGGAUGUACUUGCGGUGCUGAUGGGAGCUAAUCCAGGCUGACGAGGCGUGCAGCUCCUUAACCACCCUCCGACUCUCCUGGAGCUUUUUGGCAGCAGUCUGGGCGGUGGAGAAAUCAUUUCCCUGCUGGAGCCAGAGCUUCCAUUUUAUCAGCCAUGCUAUGAAAUUAACCCGAUAAUUGUGCUGGAUCUGCCUUUUCUCUCUAAGUGCUCAUUCAAUCUUGAGAAGAAGCAACUUUUUUGGCAGUUUGGGACUUUUAAGACAAUCAGUCUUCACAAAUGUAGGAUCUGGGUGGCAAAACCAAUGCUUUAUGUCAAGCUGGUGGAAAAAGUCUCCAGAAAACUGCAGCAUUUACCAAAUGUUACAUGAGUUUUACCGUCUCUCUUGCAGAAGCCCUCUGCAGGGAAGAGUGCUUGUCCCAGCAGCA